RNAcentral lists this ribosomal RNA (406 nucleotides) under uncultured bacterium. Its description in RNAcentral is "bacterial SSU rRNA". It matches the Rfam family "Bacterial small subunit ribosomal RNA", at positions 356 to 773 of the family's 1533-position model. The record is from RNAcentral.
UGGGAAUGUUGGACAAUGGGAGCAAUCCUGAUCCAGCUACCCCGCGUGAGUGAUGAAGGCCUUCGGGUCGUAAAGCUCUUUUAGUUGGGACGAAGGGAAACUUGACGGUACCAACAGAAAAAGCACCGGCUAACUCUGUGCCAGCAGCCGCGGUAAUACAGAGGGUGCAAGCGUUGUUCGGAAUCAUUGGGCGUAAAGCGCGUGUAGGCGGCCAUCUAAGUCUGGUGUGAAAGCCCGAAGCUUAACUUCGGAAGUGCACUGGAUACUGGAAGGCUAGAGGGUGAGAGAGGAGAUUGGAAUUCAUGGUGUAGGGGUGAAAUCCGUAGAUAUCAUGAGGAACAUCAGUGGCGAAGGCGAAUCUCUGGCUCGUUUCUGACACUGAGACGCGAAAGCGUGGGGAGCAAAC